GAUGAACGCUGGCGGCGUGCCUAAUACAUGCAAGUCGAGCGAACAGACGAGGAGCUUGCUCCUCUGACGUUAGCGGCGGACGGGUGAGUAACACGUGGAUAACCUACCUAUAAGACUGGGAUAACUUCGGGAAACCGGAGCUAAUACCGGAUAAUAUAUUGAACCGCAUGGUUCAAUAGUGAAAGACGGUUUUGCUGUCACUUAUAGAUGGAUCCGCGCCGCAUUAGCUAGUUGGUAAGGUAACGGCUUACCAAGGCAACGAUGCGUAGCCGACCUGAGAGGGUGGCCGGCCCAACGGGACCGGAGCCACGCCCAAGACCCCGCGGGGAGGCAGCAGUGGGGAUUCUUCGGCAAUGGGAGAAGGCCGGACGGAGCAACGCCGAGGGGUGGAGAAAGGUCUUGGGAUCUAAAACUUUUUUUAUGGGGAAAAAAAAAAUGUGAAAGAACUUAGGCACGUCUGGACGGUACCUAACAAAAAAGCCACGGCUAACUACGGG
This 497-nucleotide ribosomal RNA is filed under the name uncultured bacterium. RNAcentral describes it as "partial 16S ribosomal RNA". It matches the Rfam family "Bacterial small subunit ribosomal RNA", at positions 28 to 507 of the family's 1533-position model. The record is from RNAcentral.